This 527-nucleotide ribosomal RNA is filed under the name uncultured bacterium. RNAcentral's name for it is "bacterial SSU rRNA". It matches the Rfam family "Bacterial small subunit ribosomal RNA", at positions 8 to 526 of the family's 1533-position model. The record is from RNAcentral.
AGAGUUUGAUCAUGGCUCAGGAUGAACGCUAGCGGCAGGCUUAAUACAUGCAAGUCGUGGGGCAGCAGGGGUGUAGCAAUACACUCGCUGGCGACCGGCAAACGGGUGCGGAACACGUACGCAACCUACCCAAAACUGGGGAAUAGCCCGGGGAAACCCGGAUUAAUACCUCGUAACACCAUGAAGUGGCAUCACUAUAUGGUUAUAGCUCCGGCGGUUUUGGAUGGGCGUGCGCCUGAUUAGGUAGUUGGCGGGGUAACGGCCCACCAAGCCAGCGAUCAGUAACUGGUGUGAGAGCACGACCAGUCACACGGGCACUGAGACACGGGCCCGACUCCUACGGGAGGCAGCAGUAAGGAAUAUUGGUCAAUGGACGCAAGUCUGAACCAGCCAUGCCGCGUGAAGGAUGAAGGUCCUCUGGAUUGUAAACUUCUUUUAUAUGGGACGAAACCCGGGAAUUCCUUCCCGAUUGACGGUACCAUAGGAAUAAGCACCGGCUAACUCCGUGCCAGCCGCCGCGGUAAUAC